AACGAACGCUGGCGGCAGGCCUAACACAUGCAAGUCGAACGAGUAAGAGCCGUAGCAAUACGGAGUUCUGCUAGUGGCGCACGGGUGAGUAACGCGUGGGAACGUGCCUUGGAGUUCGGGAUAACAGUUGGAAACGACUGCUAAUACCGAAUAUUCCCUCAGGGGAAAGAUUUAUCGCUCCAAGAUCGGCCCGCGUAAGAUUAGGUAGUUGGUGGGGUAAUGGCCUACCAAGCCUACGAUCUUUAGCUGGUCUGAGAGGACGACCAGCCACACUGGAACUGAGACACGGUCCAGACUCCUACGGGAGGCAGCAGUGGGGAAUAUUGGACAAUGGGCGAAAAGCCUGAUCCAGCCAUGCCGCGUGAAUGAUGAAGGACCUUAGGGUUGGUAAAAUUACUUUUGUCAGGGGAAGG
Molecule: ribosomal RNA, 413 nt
Filed under: uncultured bacterium
Lineage: Bacteria
Description: bacterial SSU rRNA
Rfam family: Bacterial small subunit ribosomal RNA
Source: RNAcentral